This 240-nucleotide ribosomal RNA is filed under the name Lomentospora prolificans. Its description in RNAcentral is "Scedosporium prolificans Eukaryotic small subunit ribosomal RNA". It matches the Rfam family "Eukaryotic small subunit ribosomal RNA", at positions 837 to 1077 of the family's 1831-position model. Lineage: Eukaryota; Fungi; Ascomycota; Sordariomycetes; Microascales; Microascaceae. The record is from Rfam by way of RNAcentral.
UUUUUUGUUGGUUUCUAGGACCGCCGUAAUGAUUAAUAGGGACAGUCGGGGGCAUCAGUAUUCAAUUGUCAGAGGUGAAAUUCUUGGAUCUAUUGAAGACUAACUACUGCGAAAGCAUUUGCCAAGGAUGUUUUCAUUGAUAAGGAACGAAAGUUAGGGGAUCGAAGACGAUCAGAUACCGUCGUAGUCUUAACUAUAAACUAUGCCGACUAGGGAUCGGACGAUGUUAUUCUUUGACGC